RNAcentral lists this ribosomal RNA (1419 nucleotides) under Staphylococcus warneri. Its description in RNAcentral is "bacterial SSU rRNA". It matches the Rfam family "Bacterial small subunit ribosomal RNA". The record is from RNAcentral. Lineage: Bacteria; Bacillati; Bacillota; Bacilli; Caryophanales; Staphylococcaceae.
UGCAAGUCGAGCGAACAGAUAAGGAGCUUGCUCCUUUGACGUUAGCGGCGGACGGGUGAGUAACACGUGGAUAACCUACCUAUAAGACUGGGAUAACUUCGGGAAACCGGAGCUAAUACCGGAUAACAUAUUGAACCGCAUGGUUCAAUAGUGAAAGGCGGCUUUGCUGUCACUUAUAGAUGGAUCCGCGCCGUAUUAGCUAGUUGGUAAGGUAACGGCUUACCAAGGCAACGAUACGUAGCCGACCUGAGAGGGUGAUCGGCCACACUGGAACUGAGACACGGUCCAGACUCCUACGGGAGGCAGCAGUAGGGAAUCUUCCGCAAUGGGCGAAAGCCUGACGGAGCAACGCCGCGUGAGUGAUGAAGGUCUUCGGAUCGUAAAACUCUGUUAUCAGGGAAGAACAAAUGUGUAAGUAACUGUGCACAUCUUGACGGUACCUGAUCAGAAAGCCACGGCUAACUACGUGCCAGCAGCCGCGGUAAUACGUAGGUGGCAAGCGUUAUCCGGAAUUAUUGGGCGUAAAGCGCGCGUAGGCGGUUUUUUAAGUCUGAUGUGAAAGCCCACGGCUCACCCGUGGAGGGUCAUUGGAAACUGGAAAACUUGAGUGCAGAAGAGGAAAGUGGAAUUCCAUGUGUAGCGGUGAAAUGCGCAGAGAUAUGGAGGAACACCAGUGGCGAACGCGACUUUUCUGGUCUGUAACUGACGCUGAUGUGCGAAAGCGUGGGGAUCAAACAGGAUUAGAUACCCUGGUAGUCCACGCCGUAAACGAUGAGUGCUAAGUGUUAGGGGGUUUCCGCCCCUUAGUGCUGCAGCUAACGCAUUAAGCACUCCGCCUGGGGAGUACGACCGCAAGGUUGAAACUCAAAGGAAUUGACGGGGACCCGCACAAGCGGUGGAGCAUGUGGUUUAAUUCGAAGCAACGCGAAGAACCUUACCAAAUCUUGACAUCCUUUGACCGCUCUAGAGAUAGAGUCUUCCCCUUCGGGGGACAAAGUGACAGGUGGUGCAUGGUUGUCGUCAGCUCGUGUCGUGAGAUGUUGGGUUAAGUCCCGCAACGAGCGCAACCCUUAAGCUUAGUUGCCAUCAUUAAGUUGGGCACUCUAAGUUGACUGCCGGUGACAAACCGGAGGAAGGUGGGGAUGACGUCAAAUCAUCAUGCCCCUUAUGAUUUGGGCUACACACGUGCUACAAUGGACAAUACAAAGGGCAGCUAAACCGCGAGGUCAAGCAAAUCCCAUAAAGUUGUUCUCAGUUCGGAUUGUAGUCUGCAACUCGACUACAUGAAGCUGGAAUCGCUAGUAAUCGUAGAUCAGCAUGCUACGGUGAAUACGUUCCCGGGUCUUGUACACACCGCCCGUCACACCACGAGAGUUUGUAACACCCGAAGCCGGUGGAGUAACCAUUUAUGGAGCUAGC